RNAcentral lists this ribosomal RNA (374 nucleotides) under uncultured organism. Its description in RNAcentral is "partial 16S ribosomal RNA". It matches the Rfam family "Bacterial small subunit ribosomal RNA", at positions 527 to 896 of the family's 1533-position model. The record is from RNAcentral.
GUAGGUGGCAAGCGUUGUCCGGAAUUAUUGGGCGUAAAGCGCGCGCAGGCGGUUCUUUAAGUCUGAUGUGAAAGCCCACGGCUCAACCGUGGAGGGUCAUUGGAAACUGGAGAACUUGAGUACAGAAGAGGAAAGCGGAAUUCCACGUGUAGCGGUGAAAUGCGUAGAGAUGUGGAGGAACACCAGUGGCGAAGGCGGCUUUCUGGUCUGUAACUGACGCUGAGGCGCGAAAGCGUGGGGAGCAAACAGGGAUUAGAUACCCUGGUAGUCCACGCCGUAAACGAUGAGUGCUAAGUGUUAGGGGGGUAUCCGCCCCCCUUAGUGCUGCAGCUAACGCAUUAAGCACUCCGCCUGGGAGUACGGCCGCAAGGCUG